Molecule: long non-coding RNA, 1061 nt
Organism: Felis catus (domestic cat)
Lineage: Eukaryota; Metazoa; Chordata; Mammalia; Carnivora; Felidae
Exons: 7
Source: RefSeq, a predicted model, not a curated record
CGGCCAUGUUCGGGUAUAGUAACGGCGCACGUUAUAACAAUUAUGUAACCAAGGAAUCACGGGGGCAGUGAUGGAUUAUAAGACGGGGCACUGAUUCUGGCUGUCACCUACGCCCCUGGUCAGUGUGGCUCCCCCAGACCAGACUGAGCCCAUGUCACCCGCUGAGGACGCGUUCCCUCGGGCACAGGUAGUCAGCGCAGUCUCCCUGUGGCUUCUACGGAAGGGGUCUCAUGCUUUGUGUAUCAUGGCUUUGCAGCCCUGGACAUAUCAGAAUCUCUCACGUAAAGGCAUGCUCUUGUUUUGGCCAAGAGAUGUUUUGGCAAACUGAGGCCUGACAUAUGGUGAAGGAGGCAACAUUUUACCAGGAGGAACCAUAAUCCCACUUGGAGUGACCGUUGGGGAGGUUUUAAUGGAAGAAGGAAGUGUCUGGGGAUUACAGUUCUUUCCACUUCCCUCUUGAUUCUCUCCUGUACUCUCUAUCUCCUGCUGUGGGGACAGACGGAACUGCUCCCUGAUCUGUUUUACUCUGGACAAAACCCCAGGAAGGCCCUUCUGCCCGGUGCUUUACAUGCUCUGCAAUACUUAAAAGAAAGAAGCCCUGAUGGAAAACACAGAUACGGACAGCAUGUUUUUUUCAUGGCAGAUGCACCUUCUGGUGCCUCCUAUCCGGGCAUCCUGUCUAGACCAGUCCUUACGGCAGUGCUGUGAAGGGUGGUCCCAUCAUGCCCACGUCAUAGAUGAGGCAACAGAGGUCAGGAUUGCUAAACAGCUCUCCAUCAGCGCGGUGACUCUUCUCGACUUCUGCCAACACGGACAGAGCAUGAGCAGCAGAAAGACACAGACCAACACCGCUUCUCUUUGGGUUCUUGUCACCUCCUGCCUCUUGGCCCCUGCUCACAGCAGCUUCUCAACGUGGAAGCUCUUAUUACUGACCGUGAACCUUCUACAUGUAAUACACUCUGAUGUUGUCGGGCUUACGUGUGUCUUCUUACUACGUGGCGUCCAUUCGUGCCGCGUGUCCGUGCUUCCUUCUUCCUUUUUCUCCUGUCUCCUUUGAGAAU